This 119-nucleotide ribosomal RNA is filed under the name Helianthus annuus (common sunflower). Lineage: Eukaryota; Viridiplantae; Streptophyta; Magnoliopsida; Asterales; Asteraceae. The record is from RNAcentral.
UAUUGCGAUCAUACCAGCACUAAUGCACCGGAUCCCAUCAGAACUCCGCAGUUAAGCGUGCUUGGGCGAGAGUAGUACUAGGAUGGGUGACCCCCUGGGAAGUCCUCGUGUUGCAACCC